This 134-nucleotide ribosomal RNA is filed under the name uncultured bacterium. RNAcentral's name for it is "partial 16S ribosomal RNA". It matches the Rfam family "Bacterial small subunit ribosomal RNA", at positions 337 to 488 of the family's 1533-position model. The record is from RNAcentral.
UCCUACGGGAGGCAGCAGUGGGGAAUAUUGGACAAUGGGCGCAAGCCUGAUCCAGCCAUGCCGCGUGAGUGAUGAAGGCCUUAGGGUUGUAAAGCUCUUUCACCGGUGAAGAUAAUGACGGUAUCCGGAGAAGA